UAAGCAUCCAAGCCUCUGGAUUUAGUGCUCUGUUGAAGGCCAAUGGAAACAAAGAUGAUUUGCCAGCCUGAUGCCUUUUCACCCUUUCAUCUCAUGAAGCUAUUUUACAACAUCAAAGCUGAAGAGAAAUAUUGAAAACACAUUUGCUGUCUUUGUUGUUUUUCAUCGUGUCAUUGUGUCAUCAUAUAUCUACAUCAAGUCCUUUACCUCCAUGAUGCUGGCAAGGAAAUUGAGGAUUUCCACCUGCUCAUCAUUCUGUGGAAUCACACGGAACACCUUCUGCCUGUAAGGGGAGAAAAAGAUUCAAUUUGAAACAGUUGAAAGCCUUUUGAUCAUGCAGAAGAAAUCACAGAUAUAAAACUUGAUGUCUGUUCUUACCCAUCAAAGGAAAGAUCCUGCAGGUGAGCAGAAACAGAUGCAGCACCUAUGAGAACCAAGAG
Non-coding RNA from Agelaius phoeniceus (red-winged blackbird), 440 nucleotides. Lineage: Eukaryota; Metazoa; Chordata; Aves; Passeriformes; Icteridae. The record is from RefSeq and is a predicted model, not a curated record.